AGGGCACCACCAGGAGUGGAGCCUGCGGCUUAAUUUGACUCAACACGGGAAAUCUCACCAGGCCCGGACACCGGAAGGAUUGACAGAUUGAGAGCUCUUUCUUGAUUCGGUGGGUGGUGGUGCAUGGCCGUUCUUAGUUGGUGGAGCGAUUUGUCUGGUUAAUUCCGAUAACGAACGAGACUCUGGCCUACUAACUAGACGUUGGAUCCCUUUGUGGGUCCAUCGCAGCUUCUUAGAGGGACGGGCGGCGUUUAGCCGCACGAGAUUGAGCAAUAACAGGUCUGUGAUGCCCUUAGAUGUUCUGGGCUGCACGCGCGCUACACUGAAGGAAUCAGCGUGUGUUCCCUACCCGAAAGGGUUGGGAAACCCGUUGAACCUCCUUCGUGAUGGGGAUUGGGGAUUGCAAUUAUUCCCCAUGAACGAGGAAUUCCCAGUAGGCGCGAGUCAUAAGCUUGCGUCGAUUACGUCCCUGCCCUUUGUACACACCGCCCGUCGCUACUACCGAUCGAGUGAUUUAGU
This 519-nucleotide ribosomal RNA is filed under the name uncultured eukaryote. RNAcentral describes it as "SSU rRNA". It matches the Rfam family "Eukaryotic small subunit ribosomal RNA", at positions 1161 to 1702 of the family's 1831-position model. The record is from RNAcentral.